UACGUAGGGUCCGAGCGUUGUCCGGAAUUAUUGGGCGUAAAGAGCUCGUAGGCGGUUUGUCGCGUCUGCUGUGAAAUCCCGAGGCUCAACCUCGGGCCUGCAGUGGGUACGGGCAGACUGGAGUGCGGUAGGGGAGAAUGGAAUUCCUGGCGUAGCGGUGGAAUGCGCAGAUAUCAGGAGGAACACCGAUGGCGAAGGCAGUUCUCUGGGCCGUAACUGACGCUGAGGAGCGAAAGCGUGGGGAGCGAACAGG
This 253-nucleotide ribosomal RNA is filed under the name uncultured bacterium. RNAcentral describes it as "partial 16S ribosomal RNA". It matches the Rfam family "Bacterial small subunit ribosomal RNA", at positions 524 to 776 of the family's 1533-position model. The record is from RNAcentral.